CUUUCGGACACAAAGAAGGUGCUGCAUGGCAUGUCGUCAGCUCGUGCCGUGAGGUGUUGGGUUAAGUCCCGCAACGAGCGCAAACCCCUAAUCCUAGUGCCAGCAAGUAAAGUUGGGGACUUAGGGUGACUGCCGGCGUAAGCCGCGAGGAAGGUGGGGACGACGUCAAGUCAUCAUGGCCUUUAUGCCCAGGGCUACACACGUGCUACAAUGGCGUACACAGAGGGUAGCGAAGCCGCGAGGUGGAGCUAAUCCCAAAAACCGGCAUCAGUUUGGAGUCUGCAACUCGACUCCGUGAAGGUGGAAUGCUAGUAAUCGCAGAUCAGCACGCUGCGGUG
RNAcentral lists this ribosomal RNA (338 nucleotides) under uncultured bacterium. Its description in RNAcentral is "bacterial SSU rRNA". It matches the Rfam family "Bacterial small subunit ribosomal RNA", at positions 1018 to 1364 of the family's 1533-position model. The record is from RNAcentral.